RNAcentral lists this ribosomal RNA (292 nucleotides) under uncultured bacterium. RNAcentral's name for it is "partial 16S ribosomal RNA". RNAcentral also lists the same sequence under 1 other name. The record is from RNAcentral.
GGACUACUGGGGUAUCUAAUCCCGUUUGCUCCCCUGGCUUUCGUGCAUGAGCGUCAGGAACUGUCCAGAGACCCGCCUUCGCCACCGGUGUUCUGGUCGAUCUCUACGCAUUUCACCGCUACACCGACCAUUCCAGUCUCCUCUCCAGUCCUCAAGCCCGCCAGUUUCGAAUGACCUAUCACAGUUAGGCUGUGAGAUUUCACAUCCGACUUAACAGACCGCCUGCGCACCCUUUACGCCCAAUGAAUCCGAACAACGCUUGCCGUCUCUGUAUUACCGCGGCUGCUGGCAC